This 2029-nucleotide long non-coding RNA is filed under the name Amphibalanus amphitrite. RNAcentral describes it as "uncharacterized LOC122380690". Lineage: Eukaryota; Metazoa; Arthropoda; Thecostraca; Balanomorpha; Balanidae. The record is from RNAcentral.
GAUUGCAAUUUGCAUUUGAGCUCAGCAGUCGAGUAAGUUGUGCCAAAAAUACCAGAAGUGUUGCAUGCCCUGGAUGCAGAAAAACAAGAUUGAGAUGAGUGGAUCAAGAUGUAUCUUUCGUGCAGAUGCAUCAAGAUGUACCUUUCACUUAAGAUCCAUGCAGGCGCAAGCUCUGGAUGAACUUCUGCGGUGACGUCGGCAUUCUUACAGGAGAACCCAAGAUUCGCUGUACCUGUAUGCAUUUCAAAACUGAAUAAUUGAUAGCAACAAGUAAAUAUUUGAAGUUGCAGCCAAAUGCUGUGCCUUCUCUGCUGCAAGAACUACAUGUCACCAUUGAAGCAAGGCUCAGCUCGACUCCUGCAGUAGGACUCCAGCCUCGUCCAGUCGUCGCCGCUCGCCAAGACCUGCCGGACUCCUGCAAUAGGGUCCAGGCUGAUCCGUUCGUCCAGUAACCGCCGCUCGUCAGCACCAGCUGGGCUCCUGUAGUAGGGGUCCAGCCUCGUCCAGUCGCCGCCGCUUGCCAAGACCAGCUGGGCUCCUGUAGUAUGGGGCUAGGAUGGCCCGUUCAUCAACCGGUCCUGAAGUCACAUCGCUGUCAGCCAGCCGAACUCAGUACAUAAGUCACCAACCCUGAAUGUUGCCAGCCAAAGUCGGCAGUUUCCUUCGGACAGUCAUCUCACCAGUGUUGUACAGUGUACAAGGUUAGUGACGCAGUUAAAUGCGUCAAUUAAAUGCGAGGACGUGCGCUUGUAUGCAGCGUUUUGUCAUGUUGAGCUGCAUGGGUGUCGAUUUUCACCGAAUUGAGGGUGCCCAGUGCCCACUGCCCGGGCGCAGCAAAUCCGCCGCCGCCUUAGCGGUGACCUUGACCCGCACCGUCUGUUGGGGCUCCAAAGCCAAGCCAGCCGAGCCGGAGGGGAAUUUAGAGAGCUUGAGCACCCCCAACCCGGCGGAAAUUGACACCUAUGUUGAGCUGUAUGGAUGCGUUUUAGCCUUCCGCCGUGGUGGUAAAUAGCAGUCUACAUGCAGAAUUAGGCAGGCUUAUUAACGGACUCAUUAUUUGAUUCAUUGUGUCACCUUUGUCGGCACGUGUAAGAUGUAAGUGCACGUGUAAGGCCAUUGGCUCUCGGCCUGGCGACUUCUGGGGACCACGUAAUGGGGAUGACAAUUGGGAUCCUGUGCCUUAAGCCGGCCAUUUACGUCCAUGGCUAUAUACCCUCGUACUAGGGCCAGUUAUGACGUAUAUAGGGAUCCACGAGAUCUUUUUUGAUGAAUGGGUUGUGCAGUGUUGAGAUCCGCGUGUAACGUCACUGUUUGGCCAGUCUGCCCUCAAACGCGUCAUCUUUACUCGUAUUUUAUUUACAUGAACACUUUGCAUGGUCCAGUGGUUUAUAUAGACAUCUUCCUUGCACUAGCUAGUUUUAUGUGGCCAGGUUGAUUGCCUGUCAGCGCGGUCACGCUGUCGUCUUUCGAUUGGUGCGCUUAAAUGCGGCGAGAUGAAUGUAGGAUUUCCCUAUUUAGUACCUGCGCCCAGCUCAACUGGAGCCUUCGGACGGCGCACCUCUUGGCCGGCGCUGUUAUCUGAAACUUAUUAUCUCGGGCGUAUGUUGCAACUUGUUGAUUGCCAGCGUCGUUGUAUUACGUACGCGAAAGCAGUAGCGGCGGAACACCUUCAAUUAAGGGGAAGGGGGGGGAGGCACUGCCGACUUUUGAUCCCAUUCUUUCCAUGUAACGCCCAUAGAGCCCAUGUUAAAAUGCCAAAAUCAAAGGGGGACACGGUGCCCCGGUGCCCUCCCCGUUCCGCCGCCUAUGCGCGAAAGUACCAACAGUUUCCAGUUGUUUGUGUCCCAAUGUUUUUUAUGUUUUUAUUAUGUACAGGGACCGGUUGUCGAUAUCAAUGUUAUCGGUUGUUACUGGACAGGACAGACGGCUAGACAAGGGAUUCGUGUACAGUAGCAACUGCUGGUCCCCGUACCAGCAUUGAAACUGCACCAGUACCAGCAUUGAAACUAAAUAUAAGAUAUCUCAGAAG